Molecule: long non-coding RNA, 600 nt
Filed under: Nicotiana benthamiana
Lineage: Eukaryota; Viridiplantae; Streptophyta; Magnoliopsida; Solanales; Solanaceae
Description: long non-coding RNA (NBEN_LNC025910)
Source: RNAcentral
UUUGCUGUUGCUAUAAGAAAGGAAUUUGGAUAUAGUUUCAUGGGUAUGUACACUGAUUCAGAACUUGUACCACCAUGGACAUACUACUAACAACACUUUAUAGUCUUAGCACACAUUUAUACUUAUGCCUUGUUCUUAAACAGCCCAGAAUAUCAAAUGAAAUUUCUCAAUCAAAGACAGAGUAAAUGAGAGGCAGUAAUGUCAAAAAGAAAUGUUCAUUUCAAAAUCACUCAAAGCUUUACAUGAUUACUACAUCACAGCUAACAGAUAAAGCAUGAAGUAAUACAAAGGUGAAACCAACCAUAUAUGGGAGUCUACAUUAUGUACCUUCAGCAGCAAAAUAAACAAUAAAAUGUAUUCUAAUUCUGGAGUUCAGCAGCAGAUACCAGCAACAACCAAACCAAAAAAAAGUUUGGGGAUAUAACUAACAACCCAGAAUCAACUUGGAACCAAGGAAUCAAGCUGAAGAAUCUGGAAAAAUCUUCUAUUCAAACCAUGUUUUCCACUUGUAAAGCAAUAGUAGAUUUCUGAUAUUUUUAAAAGCUAUUUUGCGUCCCAAAGUUUUUAGAGAGAAGAAUGUAACUUUUUUAGAGAAACUUG